CAGCCCUAAACGAUGCGCGUUAGGUGUAUCGGUGACCACGAGUCACCGAGGUGCCGAAGGGAAACCGUGAAACGUGCCGCCUGGGAAGUACGGUCGCAAGGCUGAAACUUAAAGGAAUUGGCGGGGGAGUACCACAACGGGUGGAGCCUGCGGUUUAAUUGGACUCAACGCCGGGAAGCUCACCGGAUAAGACAGCGGAAUGAUUGCCGGGCUGAAGACCCUGCAUGACCAGCUGAGAGGAGGUGCAUGGCGUAGUCGUGU
This 261-nucleotide ribosomal RNA is filed under the name uncultured archaeon. Its description in RNAcentral is "partial 16S ribosomal RNA". It matches the Rfam family "Archaeal small subunit ribosomal RNA", at positions 748 to 1009 of the family's 1478-position model. The record is from RNAcentral.